This 74-nucleotide transfer RNA is filed under the name Endocarpon pusillum. RNAcentral describes it as "tRNA-Lys (TTT) (tRNA-Lys-TTT-2-1)". It matches the Rfam family "tRNA". Rfam says of the family: Transfer RNA (tRNA) molecules are approximately 80 nucleotides in length. The record is from RNAcentral. Lineage: Eukaryota; Fungi; Ascomycota; Eurotiomycetes; Verrucariales; Verrucariaceae.
GCCCAGGUCCCCCAACUCGUUAGCGCGUAAGACUUUUAAUCUUAAGGCUGAGAGUUUGAGCCUCUCCUCGGGCC